AUGAAAAGUGAAACAUCCAAUAGUUUCUUUGUUAGAGUUUAUUAUGCUCACCGCACUCUGAGCAGAAACUUGACCAGCACAUUUCCAGAGAGUUUGUUUAGCUCUUCAAUCAAAACUCAUUUAAACGUAACAGUGAGAUGCAUUUGUGUUUGUUUCUUUGUUCUGUGAAUCAUUAGCACUUCAAAACAACAUAGCUGCUAGUUCUGUGGCUUUUGACAGUUAAAAUCAACUUGCUCUGUUAAAAUAUACUUCAUGUACAGGAGAGAGUAAACCACGGUUGUCUACGUCUGCCAGUUUAAAGACAAAAAUCACAUAGUUUGUUCUCAUUAUGUGAAUUAUAUCAGAUUUCUAAUAAUAUUGGUGAGAAUUAGGUUCAAAUUGAUUAUAUUCUGAAUCAUAAUACAAAGAUUUUAGUUUCAGGGUCAAAAUGUCAAAUUUUUUUCUCUCAGUGUGACUUAAAAUGUCUAAAUUUUUUGUUGUAAAUCUGAUGAUUUUGUCUUUGAACAUCCUGUUUUUUAUAUGUGAAUUUCAUUAUUAAUUAUCAUUCUUAGUCUAAUAACAAGACAUGAUAUUAUAUCUUAGAAACUCAUAAUUAGGACCUAAAACUGUAGUCAUUUCUUUUUAUCCUAUACUUAUAACCCUUAUAAAUAUGCUAUUACAUUUCCCUUUAUGCUGCACCUGAAAGAUAAAUUCUAGCUCUGUUUCAGACCACUUAUCCUGCAUGCACUAAUACUCACUAAUAUGGCAGCUUAGGAAGAGAUCAGAUGACACUUGCAGCACUUGUGCAAAUACCUAUUUAAUUAAAAGACAGUGAACUUGUUUUUUUAAGAUAUCAUUGAUGGAUUUUGCAGAUAGUUUUUUUAUUUCUUUUACAGCAGAGAUUAAUAACCUCUUUGUUUUUUCCAGUUUACAGCCGAAUGAGGAGGCGUGAUCCAGACCCUAAUAGAGACGUUUUUCCAGAUCAAAAUAUACUUUUUUCAGAGUUUUAACAUUUUUUUUUAUAUUUAUGUAUUGUAUUUUUUGCAGAUUAACUAUGACUUUUGAGUUAAGCUGUUCAUAAUUAUAUAUAUAUAUAUAUCUAUAUUAGGGCCGGGACUUUAACGCAUUAAUUACGAUUAAUUAAUUAGAAAAAAAUAACGCGUUAAAAAAAUUUACGCAUUUAAUCGCAGCUUGCAUUUCAAGCACGGCGGAACCUUUGUCAUUCACAACAAUGCACAGUGCUAAUGGCUACUAAAACGGAAUAAAAACAGAAAGAAGUUGCCUUGCUUGGACUGAUGCAGGAUUUAGGAAAAAAAAACUUCCAGACAACAACGGAGUCUGUGUCGCGGACAUUUUUCAGAGAUCGUCUCUGCUUCGGCUGCCCGGUGGCACCGGAAACAUUACAAAAGUUGCGGUAAGCUAUAUUUUUAACAUUUACGUAACAUCUGUGCAGCGCUGAAAGCACCAGACAGAAUAAUUCUGUGCCCUAACAGUAGUUUAUGAAAGUAGUCAGACAAACGAGAGGCACCUGGCUGCCGCUGGGAGAACGCUCCGUGUUCUCACUACUCUGUAAACAAUCACA
This is a long non-coding RNA of Nothobranchius furzeri (turquoise killifish), 1561 nucleotides long. The record is from Ensembl. Lineage: Eukaryota; Metazoa; Chordata; Actinopteri; Cyprinodontiformes; Nothobranchiidae.